UGAAGUUUGAUUUUGUCAAAAAUUAUAGUGGACAAAAGUCACAUUUUAAGUGGAACACCAAGUAUAUCGUCUAAAAUAAUUAUUCAACCAACAGCCCGAUAUUUCAGACUUCUUGUGUUGAUGUUAGCAGUUUGUGUUCACGAAACUGAUGCUAUUACAGCUAAUGGAGGACCAGGCCGUAAAUUCAAAUCUUUUGGACUUCAGGAAGAUAUGGAAGUGGAUAUAAUACUGGAAAAGAGGAGUUUGGAUGAGUUGAGCGAGGACAGUUUGGAACUAUUCGAUAAUCUUCUGGAAGACCUCAACUAGAAAAACUUCAUCGAUGCAUAUUUAACUUAUUUGACUACCGUAAUUUAUUAGACUAAAACACCGUAAAACUGGAAUAUUUUAAUUAUUUUCAAGUUUAAUCAUGUAUCUAGAUAACCACGAUUUUAAAUAUUUUAUUGUCCGAGCAUCUUAAAAAAACAUUUCUAUAGCUGUUAUAGAUGUGUUUUGCUAAUUUACUAACUUAUCGGCUAAACCUCAUUCUAAUUAUAACAUUAGCUAUUAAUUAUAACAUUAUGAUACUUGCUAAAGAUAACACUUAGAUGUUUGAAAUUCCAUUUCACCAAUUAUUUGUUCUGAAACAUUAAAAAACUUUCAUCAACAUUAAAAAA
Bolinopsis microptera is the source of this 653-nucleotide long non-coding RNA. RefSeq lists it as uncharacterized. The transcript has 2 exons. NCBI's taxonomy places the organism in Eukaryota, Metazoa, Ctenophora, Tentaculata, Lobata, Bolinopsidae. The record is from RefSeq and is a predicted model, not a curated record.